UGGCAACAAGUCUAAAAACUUACCAACACUACCACAAUUUCCCAAGUCUACAUGGACAUUGACAAUGGUAGCAUUGGAUAUCUAGAAAAGGAUUUCUCUUCCCAAUGGAAAGGGAUCGGCUAUAGUCAACUCGGUUGACCAAAUAGUAAAGAGAAAGGCAAAUUCUGAGAUAGUCUCAUGUGCCAUUACCAAAGGGUCCAUGUGUUUUGUUGCCAAAGGAAGGGGCAUUGGUUGCGAAGCUGCCCUAUUCACCUGAAAGGUCAUAAGGUUGAUCAAGUCAAGAGGUUUGACUCUACUUCGGGUAAAGUCCACUGUCUAACUCUAUUAAGUUCCUAUUUGGAGAUUCUUAUUACAUAAUGUGAAUGGGUCACAUGCUGAUGUUUUUAAGAAUCAAAGAAAAGAUAGGAAGCUUAAAGUAAGUAUAUGUUGAUUCUGAUUGCGAAGGUGGGUUUCGAUCGCAUGGUUCGGUAAUCAGAAUUUUGAGCUGUUGCUUAAGAGUUAUAAUAUAUUGCUUAUGAAUAGAUAACAACAAGGUUUUCAUGUGGAUUGUAAGGAUAAGUUUUUCCGCAAAGUUUUAAAAAAAAAAAAAAAAAGGGUUUUAAUUUUAUUUAUUUUAAAAAUAUCCUUACAAUGGCAUCUGUGGAAAAUUGUUGCUUAUAUGUUUCCAGUAAUAGCAAUAUUGGAAAGUGGAUUUGAUUCUUUCAUUUGUGGUAGUGUCUGAAUUUACCAAAUGAAGAAAGUUUUUCAUCACCCAAGUUUCAAUUGGACAGAAACUUGGAAUCAUACAAGUUGUAUUGUAUGAUGAAUGAGAAUUUUCAUCUUUGAAAAUUAAGACUAAUUCUUUGAUCACAUGUAUAUGUGAGUCAAUUGAAGGACUAAGGAAUUAGGUACACUGGGUGUGCGCUGGUCAAGGUCCACCACAAAGAUUGAUUUGUCAUGAUUUACUAAAGAUUAGUAAAUAUGAUUAUACUUAUGAGGUUAAGUAUAAUUCUGUAACAUUGGAAAGGUUACAAUGUAUGACAAAACAAAUGAGAAGAAUCAAAUUAGGCAGAAAGAUAAAAGUUUCUCAAAUCUGAAAGGAUGGGAGAGUACUUUAGUAUCGUAUUUCAUGAUCAUCUUAAUGAUUAUGAAACCAUAUCACAAAUUCAUACUCUAAGGACGUCUUAGUGCAUUGUUAUGGCUAAGAAGAGAGGUCAUGAAUUGUUGGAUUGGUUAAAAUCAAGAAGAUGAGUCAUACUUCGUUCCAAAACAAUUCUUAGAGUCAUACUCCAAGAUUGUAACUUUGAGUGACAUAAAGGAAGAUUUAUUAACACUAGUCAAAUGUAAGAGUAAAAUGUUUUCUACUCUUGUACAUUUGAGAUUGGUAAGUUGUGAUGUCUUGGAUGAGACAAAGACCAACUAAGACCAAUUGUGUGAAGUGUUAGUCUUGAUAAGAAUCCGCACUAUCCCUUGAAUAUUUGUUUUGUCAAGGAAUGGUUCUUGACUGGGGAAACUUAUAUGUCAAGGGGACAGUGGGAGCCUUAAAGAUCCUGAAAGAGUUUCAAGAUUUAAUCAAGAGUAAAACCUGUAAUUUAUCACUAGCACACGACUUAAGGUUUGCAACCUAUCGUGUUGACAUAAUUCUUAUUUCUGUACCUACUUCAAAUAAGUUGAAUUUGCAUGUGAGUUAUCAGAGUUCAACUUGGAAGCAUUGGUGGGCCUUGUGCUACCAAGGUGACAAGAAACUAAGAUUGAACAAGUUUAAUCCAUGUAAGGCUGAAUUUGUCACUAACCUUAUCUUGUGAUUAUGGUUUUGACAAAUUCACAUGGAUAGGAACUCAUACACUAUAAAAUCUAAGUGUCAUAAGGUUUCUCUCCGAUUCAUGAAAAUGAUGGUGAGGAAACGCUUUCACUAAGUAGAUUUUACGUAGAUAUCAAUUGUGUUAUUUGCAUUUUCAAAAGUCGUUAGUGGAGCGCGUGUGGUUAACCGGCACACUAACAUGGACUUGUGAGAAAUGGCAAAUGCCUAAGCAAUUGAGACUAUGAUUACGGCAUCCCUUUUCAUAGUUCUGAAAAUUGUUUAGACACACAUGUGAGCUAUCUAAGAAAGGGUGUAUGAAUCUAAAUUUCAGAAGUCCAGCAGAUUUCUGGAAAUAUGUCAGAGCUAGUGGGAGCAUAAGUGUUAUGCUGAUAAUCAUCAUGUUAGUGGGAGCAUGAUUAUUACGUUUAGUGUUGCAAGUUAGCAAUGUUAAUUAUAGAAAACAAAGUUUCAAUUCGUGAAGUUGCAGGGGUUGAAAAGUUGUUUUGCUAUAAUUAAGGGAGAGGAAAUUAUACUUCAUUUCAAUUCUAAAGCUUAGAUUGAGAUUUUAAUCAUCUUUAGUCAAGAAUAUAUAUAUGAAUUUUAUGUUGGAAUGGUUCAACUUGAAGAAAUUCUAUAUAUAUUGCGUUUUCAAAAUUCGAUUAUGAUUACGGCAUCCCUCUUCAUAGUUAAAUUUUGAAAACAUGGCAAAUAAAAAAUAUUGUAGCAAAAGACUGGUCUAGUAUCAUGUCUUUAUGUCAAACAUCAUGAAUCGUGUCCCAUAUGCUUCGGAUAUAGGAUCGAUUGCAUGUGCUAUAAUAUUCAUCUUUUCUAAAUUUUCCAAAUGCUUAAGGCAUUGAGAAGGGAAAAGUCUAGAACUGGAUAUGACUAAAGUGAUUAAGCAAUUGUCGAGGACAAUCUGAGGUUCGCCAAAGAUUGGUUGCUCAGGGAAAGUUGGAAGUAUGAUGUAAGUUGUCGGAAAGGACCAUAUUGACAUAUUCUGAAAAGAAGUAACUCUUGUUCGGAAGUGAUAGUCAAAAUGGGACUAUGGAAAUGUCUCCAUAGGUGGAAGUUAUUCAAUCUAUGUAAGAUUAGAAAACCUUAAUGCAAGAAGGAUGUUCAAAGCAAUGUACUUUGAAUAUGAGACUUCCGUUCCAUAGAAGUUGACCUUCUUUGGAAUACUCUGUAAUGACUGGUGACAAGGUUUUGGUGACUUUGUGCAUAAUCAUUACAAGAGGAACAUUGCAUAAAAGUUUAAAAUCUAACAGAUUUUUUGGUAAAUGAUAGGAAUCGGGGAUUCUCACAUUUACAAUAAGGAUUUGGGAUUGUGAAAUGAGUAUCAUUGGAAUCAUGUUCAAUUGAUCUACAUCACAAUGUAAGGAUCAUAGACAAACAUAGUGUGCAUACUUGGAGUAUGGCAUAACUAUUGUUUAGAAAAACAAAGUGUACAUGCUAGGAGCAUGGGACGACUGUUGUUUUUAUUCAAGUCUUAAGUUGAUUGUUUGAAACAUUAUACAAUGAAUAAUGUGUAAUCAAUAUGGUGAUAAAUAAAAGGUGGUUCUAUUUAUAUUCAAAAGGGUUCUGAGACCAUAUUGGAUUCGAUUAUUAUUGUGUUUCACUUUGCAUGUUUUGACUUCCAAAAUAGCUAGGUUAUUCUUUCCGAAUGACUAAGUUAUUUAAACACUCCACAGUCGUUCAUAUGUUGGAAGUAGGUAUGAAUCAAGACUGUCAUGAAUCGAGUUUGUAGAUGGCUAAAUGGGUUUAGUCAUAGCAAUGGUUGCUACAACAUUCAUGAGUGCUCAUAAGUUAUGAGUAUUGGAAUAAACCCACGCUCACUUGUAUCACUUCAUGGAAUUUAUCUCGAGUGAUCGUGAGACGGUAAUAUCAUAUAAAUCUUCAAACCUAGAGAUAUGAGUUGUUACCUAUGAGUUGGUUGUGCAUUGAUUGCACGUAAACGCAUCAGUAACUUGAUGUUAUAAAACGUGCCUUUGUGUACAAUUCAACAAGUAGUAGAACAAGCAUAUGAGUCGAAGUUUAUCUGUUCCUUCUAGAAAUAGAAGCGAUAUCUGGGCCCCUCGAUGAUUUUGUUGUGACCUAUGUACCGGCCGGUCAGAACUAAAUUGAUGUGUUCGAUUAAGUUCUUUGUCAAACAAAUCGAAAAUCGGGAAACAAACUGCUGGACAAUAAGUACGACGUUGUUCCAUGUAUUUGUCCGGCUGAUAUCAUGAGAACAGAGGAUUAUAUGAUCACUUAUCUAAAAUGGCGCUUCAUAGUUCAACAGAGUUUUCGAGAGCUACGAUUGCUGGUUGGUUCCUGAAGUAACAUACGCAAAUAUAGUUAUUAGACUUAUCCAAGUGGGAGUCUGUUGGAUAAGGUGUCUAAGUCCAUAACUUAUUUGGUAUAUACUUGACCCGACCCGGCAUGGUCCAUUUGGGUUGCAUCUCACCCGAACUAUUUAUGGAUAAUUUUAUGAGAGUUAUACACAUAUGUUUAUUAAUAUAUUAUAAGUUAUAAUAUAUUAAUAUGAAGUUAUGUUAUUUAAUUAGUCUUAGUCUUAAAUUAAUUAUGAAUUAAUUUAGAGAUUAAAAGGAAGACUAAUUAGAUUAUGGGCUAUUGGUUUUAUAUGGUGUGGGCUAACACUCAUUUGUUAAUGGGCUAGGCUUAUAUGGAAGUCCAUGGAUGAUCCAUGGAGCUUUUAACCCAUGGAUCCUUGGAAAAGGAAAGGUCAUGGGUUAUUAGGGUUUCACCCUAACCAUGCACACUAUAUAAGCAUGCUUAUGGAGCAUGAAAUGGCAACUAGUGAACUAGUGUGUGUGUGCUUGUGUGUGGCCAAAAAUACAAGUGUGUAUACUCUCUCAAAGUUUUCCAAGAGUUUGUGGUGUUUUGUGAUUCCAUUUGAGGCAUUCACACUAUUGGUGCUUGGCCCUCAAACUCCUUAAGAACCAAACUCAUCAAAAAGGUAUGUAAUCUCUUCUAACUCUUUUAUGUUGAAAUGUUCCCCAUGCCAUGUUAGAUAGGUUAUGAACCUUGGAAAAUUAUUAUUUUGCAUGUAUUUAGACAAACAUAGAUCCAAGGUUUAUUAGGGUUGCAUGCACACUUAGGAAGUGUUAGAUUGCUCAAAACCCAACAGUGGUAUCAGAGCCUAGGCUUGCUUGUUUGAUACUUGAUGCAAAAUAGUGAAAAAAGUUGAAAUUGUUGCUGUCUGGCUGAUGGACUCGCCGAGUCCAUGGGGGGACUCGCCGAGUUCAAGGCAAAAUUCAUCCUACUCGGCGAGUAGGUUCGUGCACUCGGCGAGUAGAAUGAUCAGAAUGCAGAAUUUCGACUUUUGCUGCUGGAAAUGGACUAGAAACAUUACCCUAAACUGUUUUGGUGUUUUAAAACUUGUUUUAGUUGGUGUAAUGGUUGUUCUAAUCCAUUUACAAUAGCAUAUAUCAAAAUUCCAUGAUUUUUAUGUGUUCAUAUAAUUCUUGAAAUUUUGAUGAUCAUGUUCAUGUUCUUAUGAAUUUAGAAGAUGAUAGGAAUUAUUUGCUGAAUUGUUUAGAAUUAAUUCUUGAUCAUUUAUGUGUUUUAAUGGAGUCCAUAAUUUGUCCUCAAGUUAUGGAUAUCCAAAGGUCACUUUUCUUUAACACACACAUUUAAACACAUAAGUUACAUGAAAAUGAAGAGUCUUCAUUUUUAUGAACCUUUAAUUCAUAAGUUAUGAAAUGAAAAGUUUUGGAUAGUUACAAAACUUGCCCUCAAGUUUUGGAAUUUGAAAAGUUUCACACACUUUAAUAAACUUUAAUUCCAACACUUAGAGUUUUAAAAGUUAAAAUUCAACACUUAUACUAUUUAUAACAUUAAUGGUUAAUUAUUAUAUAUAUGUAUAAGAACAAGUCGUUUUACCGUUAGUAGGCCUCAUUCACGAAGCCGGUCUAUAAGGUGGGUAUAAGGUUGUUGCCUAUAAAAUGGCGACUUAAUGGGUGUCCACUCUCACCCACCGCUUGCUUGAUCGGUGGAGGGUCGUUAGCCGAACGGGUAGGACAAUGACUUUAAAUUCUCAUUAAAAGUAUAAUGAUUAUUAUAAAGUAACUAAAAAUUUUUUAUUUAAUUCCCAAUCUUAGUUACUUUAGGAAAAAUGUGAAUUUGGUGCUAGCCCAUGGAAUUCACACUUUGUACCUUACCAAGUCGUUGGUGGAGCGUGUGUGGUUAACCGGCACACUAACUUGGACUAGUAAGGAUCACGAAGGGUGACUUAAUGUUUGUCAUAGAUCAAUGGAGCGUGUGUGGUUAACCGGCACAUUGAUUAGGUGAUAAUAUUAAGGGUACCAAGUGAAUUGGUAUGGUUAUUCACACCUUGUUUUGUGAUCCUCGGCAUCCCAGUCACAAAAUUUGAGAGGGCACACUCGAGAUUGAAACAUGCCAUUGAAAAGUUCAAUGAAUCUCAAAAGAUCUAGGAAUUUCAAAUCCAAUUAAAACCUAAUAAAUUAUUUCGUUUUUCAUGGUGGAAAUUGGUGAAUCGUCAUUCGCCUACCUUCAAAUAUUUUAUAGCUUGGAUUACGGCAUCCCUCUUCCAAAUUAUAAAAUAUUGUGUUGGGUCCUAGCCUUAAUAUUUCAUAUUGGGUGUUAUAUUAAGGACUUUGAAUCAACUAACUUGAUUUUCUCCCAUUAUAGAUGUCUGGUUCAGACAACUAUGAUCUUCCCAAAUCUCUUGAAGAUGGUGUCCCUCAACAUCAUGCUUCACUUCCUCCACCUCCUCCAAUUAUUCUCCCUCACCCACAAGUUCUUGAAAAGUUUAAAGUCACUCAAUCCCUAUUGGCAAGCAUAGUCUAUGUGUGCUCACAUCUUGGAGAUAAAGUCACAUAUUGACAAGCCGGGAGAGUUGGGUGUCAAAGUCUCGUGAAAGUUGGAUGUUCAAUCACUUUCUUAGUAACAUAGUGAGUCUCUUUGGGACUACUAUGAGACAGACUAUGACAUGACCCUUAAUGAUGUUAUCUAUUUGCUUGGUGUUGUGGAAUCAGCAAUGAUUUGGAACACCAGUAAAGCAAAUUUGAUUAAAAGAACAACUUCCCAAGUCUUAAAUGGACAUUGACAAUGGUAGCAUUGGAUAUCUAGAAAAGGAUUUCUCUUCCCAAUGGAAAGGGAUCGGCCAUAGUCAACUCGGUUGACCAAAUGGUAAAGAGAAAGGCUAAGUCUGAGAUAGUCUCAUGUGCCAUUACCAAAGGGUCCAUGUGUUUUGUUGCCAAAGGAAGGGGCAUUGGUUGCGAAGCUGCCCUAUUCACCUGAAAGGUCAUAAGGUUGAUCAAGUCAAGAGGUUUGACUCUACUUCGGGUAAAGUCCACUGUCUAACUCUAUUAAGUUCCUAUUUGGAGAUUCUUAUUACAUAAUGUGAAUGGGUCACAUGCUGAUGUUUUUAAGAAUCAAAGAAAAGAUAGGAAGCUUAAAGUAAGUAUAUGUUGAUUCUGAUUGCGAAGGUGGGUUUCGAUCGCAUGGUUCGGUAAUCAGAAUUUUG
Molecule: long non-coding RNA, 7268 nt
Filed under: Lactuca sativa (garden lettuce)
Lineage: Eukaryota; Viridiplantae; Streptophyta; Magnoliopsida; Asterales; Asteraceae
Description: long non-coding RNA (LSAT_LNC008265)
Source: RNAcentral